AGUCUGACGGAUCACGCCGCGUGAGUGAUGAAGGUUUUCGGAUCGUAAAACUCUGUUGUUAGGGAAGAACAAGUGCAUAGUAACUGAUGGCGCCUUGACGGUACCUAACCAGAAAGCCACGGCUAACUACGUGCCAGCAGCCGCGGUAAUACGUAGGUGGCAAGCGUUGUCCGGAAUUAUUGGGCGUAAAGCGCUCGCAGGCGGUUCUUUAAGUCUGAUGUGAAAUCUUACGGCUCAACCGUAAACGUGCAUUGGAAACUGGGGAACUUGAGUGCAGAAGAGGAGAGUGGAAUUCCACGUGUAGCGGUGAAAUGCGUAGAGAUGUGGAGGAACACCAGUGGCGAAGGCGACUCUCUGGUCUGUAACUGACGCUGAGGAGCGAAAGCGUGGGGAGCGAACAGGAUUAGAUACCCUGGUAGUCCACGCCGUUAACGAUGAGUGCUAGGUGUCAGGGGGUUUCCGCCCCUUAGUGCUGAAGUUAACGCAUUAAGCACUCCGGCUGGGGAGUACGGACGCAAGGCUGAAACUCAAAAGAAUUGACCGGGGGCCCCGCACAAGCGGUGGAGCCUGUGGUUAAUUCGAAGCACGCGAAGACCUUACCGGUCUUGACAUCUCUUACAUCUAGAAUGAGUUUCCUUCGGGACG
RNAcentral lists this ribosomal RNA (645 nucleotides) under uncultured bacterium. RNAcentral's name for it is "bacterial SSU rRNA". It matches the Rfam family "Bacterial small subunit ribosomal RNA", at positions 380 to 1027 of the family's 1533-position model. The record is from RNAcentral.